Molecule: RNA transcript, 1932 nt
Organism: Haliotis rufescens (red abalone)
Lineage: Eukaryota; Metazoa; Mollusca; Gastropoda; Lepetellida; Haliotidae
Exons: 13
Source: RefSeq, a predicted model, not a curated record
CUCUAAGAUUGAUUGUAGUUAAAUGGCUUGUUACGGGUAACACGACACUGAACUAAGCUGGUUCACGGCUCCCUAUGCGCGUCGUCAAGUUGCGCCAAGCUAUAUUGUGAUAUAUUAGAGAGCCAGCUCAGACACUGAACACGAUCGGUCAUUUCUGCAGCAGUUACGAAAAGGGGCGAGGAUUACCGAAUACAGUUCAUCGGUGGCCAUUUUUAGGAGCAGCGGGGAAUUUGACAGUUGUGUGGAAUAUGUGUUUGCCUUGCAUGCCAGCAAUAAGGCAGUGUGGCAAAGGGAUAUCCCAGCGGACCUGAUAUUCCUACAGAAGAAAUGUUUCACAACCUCGUCAAAAUUGGCCAAAUAUUGAGAUUGCAGCUGAGGUCAUGUUGGCAGCUGGAGGGACAUAUUCAGAUGUGAAGAUACAAAGAACAAAUUUAAUGACAGGGAAGUUUUGAAUCAGUGAUCAUUGUGAAGUGGAAGAUAAGACAUUUUAAGGACGACCCACAUUCGACCCACCUUAAACCUACUUUCAACUCGUUGAUAAUGGACAGUGAUCACUCUCGUGUGAAGCCUGGUGUGAAAGUUGUCACCAAAGACGCCAGGCAGAUGGAGAAAAAUGCACAGAACGCCCUCAAACAGAGGAAAUGGAGGACGAUGAAGGCCAUGGUCCGUGCCGCGGAAAAGCUCCAGAAAGAAGUCCCCGAAAUGGAGUUUAUCAUUGUUCUAUCAUAUCCAGGUAGUAUGAAGUUUGCCGGCUCGGGAGCAAUGCUCGAUUGCUUCAAGAAAGGAGAGCCCUUGACAGUUGGUAAGCCAGCCGGUAUCAAUUACACCGCAGACACCCAAAGUGAAGUUGUAGAUUUUCUAUCAACACCACCCUUCGUGGAAGUGGCCACCCCAGAGUGUCUUGGGACAGCGACGACAGGGGAACAGCUACAGGAGAUGUAUAACAGCGUAAGACAACAAUUAAUACCUGAUGUCCCACAGGGCGCCCAACUGGACGUGGAUGAUAACCCUGAACCAGCAGCGAGGGAGCCUAAAAGAGUCAGAAAAGCCCACGAUAUCGUCAGCUCAGCUGGGAACAUCAGCGGCAUAGAACCACUACCCACCAGGACUACCAGAGGAAGAGCCGCUGCUCGGGACAUCACAGCGGAAGUCCAAGCAUCACCCACCAGGACUACCAGGAGAGCCGCUGCUCGGGACGUCCAAGCAUCACAAACCCAGGAUAAUCCUGCCCGAGGGCCGACUGGAUCCAUGAGUGUCGCCAGCAUACGACCCGAGGCAUUCGUGUAUGUCUCCCUGCCGACCCAGUCAAACAGGGCUGUGCCGUUUGUCUCGGAGGUUACUUCAGAGAACCCACUCAGGGUGAAGUACCUUUAGCCCAACAAAGCGAAAGGAUCCUGGAGGUUCCCAGAGCAGGGACAGGGACACAAUCAACAGUGAAAGUAUUAUCAAGGUACCUGGAUUUCACUGUGACACCAGCUCAGACAAGCCAUACAAAGGACUCACCGGAUGAUGAAUAAUCCUUCCCAGAACAACCAACAGGUUCACCUCAGAAAGUGAUGAUCCUUAAUGAAUAAUGCCACAUUAGUGUGAUUCUGUAGAUUGUUUUAUUACGACACCAAUCAAGUCUGAAGGAAUUAAUACCACAGCAGUGUGACUAUGUUUAUGUGGUGUACACAGUACACCAACGCUGACUAUACAAAUCUGAAGGACUUUUGUGGUUUACUGCACAAACAUAAUUGACUUUACAUAUUCUUCUACCUUGGAAUUCUUCUGAGAUUUGACUAAUUUGUUUAUUUAGAAAAUGGCAUUGAAGCAUCUGUUUCUGUUUGUGAAAGUUCUUGCAAACACCACUGCUUUCUGAACCAGUGAAAUGUCAUAAAAUCAAUAAAUAUGACUUUUUAUCUAAACAAAUUCUUUGUUUUGCUUCAUUAG